AGACGUCUACAUUAGAUACCCCGGUAGUCCCAGCCCUAAACGGUGCGCGUUAGGUGUAUCGGUGACCACGAGUCACCGAGGUGCCGAAGGGAAACCGUGAAACGUGCCGCCUGGGAAGUACGGUCGCAAGGCUGAAACUUAAAGGAAUUGGCGGGGGAGCACAACAACGGGUGGAGCUUGCGGUUUAAUUGGAUUCAACGCCGGAAAUCUUACCGGGACCGACAGCAACAUGAAGGCCAAGCUGAAGACUUUGCCGGAUUAGCUG
RNAcentral lists this ribosomal RNA (265 nucleotides) under uncultured archaeon. Its description in RNAcentral is "partial 16S ribosomal RNA". It matches the Rfam family "Archaeal small subunit ribosomal RNA", at positions 717 to 982 of the family's 1478-position model. The record is from RNAcentral.